Molecule: long non-coding RNA, 923 nt
Filed under: Sinocyclocheilus anshuiensis
Lineage: Eukaryota; Metazoa; Chordata; Actinopteri; Cypriniformes; Cyprinidae
Description: lncRNA (ENSSANG00000020468.1)
Source: RNAcentral
AGGUGUGGAAACGUUCUGGAGCCUGGUUCUACAAAGCCUUGCCGAAGCAUAUUCGUCCCAUUAAGGAUUCAAUUCUAGAUAACAGGAAGCCAGUAAUAGAAAGAGGAGAGCAGCUGCCAGUGGCCAGGAGUGCACCAAUCAGCUACACAUGGGCUCAAAGCAAAGUUAACUUAAGUGAAAGCGAUGGCAGUGAUCCCGAGCUUAGUGAAUGCAGCAGUGACAGGAAGACCUUCAUGUCUGAGACCGAUCAAAGAGAUUUUGAAUCAAGUGGAGGCCAAGUGCAAACCCCUCUGCAGUCCAACAUCACCAGUCCAACUCGAACCAGCUUUCACAUGGAAAGCCCUUCCAGCUUGGCCAGCGAGCGAAGCAGCAGCAGUUUCAAUCCGGGUCUGGAGGAAGAGGUCAUGGACCAUAGUCGACCUUUACUAAUCGCCCCAAAAAUGUGCCAAUUCAGCACCCCGCAAAGCCCGCACCACCAAUUGCUCCCACGGCUCCUAAGCCCGAGCCUCGCCAGCGCUCCCACUCGGCCAGAUGCCAGUUUCCUAAACGCCGACCCAAGAUAGUGUUGGACCCUGCACCUCAGGCGUCAUCCCGAUCUGCGGGACAGGAAGAGGAGGGGGCCAAGUCUCGCUGCAGCCGGACAACCCCCCAAAGCGCUUCUGUUAUGCCUCCAAGCACCCCGUUCAGUUCCGGGUGCCGAUGGCAGUGUGUUUGAGACCAAAAAUACUGUUGUGAACAUGGGGCCCGUUCUAAUCACGUCCACACAACCAACCGCUGUUAUAGCGGGAAAAAUAAAACACAAACAUUUUCAAAAAGAGAGCAAAUUUCCUCUUCCACUCAUUGCGAGCGUCAGGUCCCCCCUAGGCGGCCCACCGCUCGAGCCAAUCCAGCCCCUUGCAGAAGCCUGGCAGGCCAUCCCCGGG